This 73-nucleotide transfer RNA is filed under the name Trichonephila inaurata madagascariensis. It matches the Rfam family "tRNA". From Rfam's summary of the family: Transfer RNA (tRNA) molecules are approximately 80 nucleotides in length. Their secondary structure includes four short double-helical elements and three loops (D, anti-codon, and T loops). The record is from Rfam by way of RNAcentral. Lineage: Eukaryota; Metazoa; Arthropoda; Arachnida; Araneae; Nephilidae.
GUCCCUGUAGCGCAAUAGAUAGCGCAUUGGACCUCUCAUUCAAAGGUCGUGGGUUCGAAUCUCAUCUGGGAUG